AAGGGCGAUGGCGACUGACCCUGGAGCACAUGCAAGUGAGUAUGCAGACAUGAGUAACGUUAAGCCGGGUGAAAUCCCCGGCCGCCGUAAACCCGAGGUUUCCAGGGCAACGUGUUUCGUCCCUGGGUUAGCCGGGACCUAAGCCGAGGCCGAGAGGCGUAGGCGAUGGACAUCAGGUUAAUAAUCCUGAGCUCGCAACCCUUAAACUGGGGGGACGCAUGAGAAAAGAUGACUAGGUUAUUGAAUUCCGAGUUGAGUCCACGGACUCAGCGCAUCAUUGGAUCGAGUGCCAAGAAAAGCCCCAGCGUAUGCUAAGCGACCCGUACCGCAAACCGACACAGGUGGGUGGGUAGAAUAUACCAAGGCGUAAGAGUGAAACCUGGUUAAGGAACUCGGCAAAUUAGCCCCGUAACUUCGGAAGAAGGGGUGCCUGCAGCGAUGCAGGCCGCAGAGAAAUGGCCCAACCGACUGUUUAUCAAAAACACAGCACUCUGCAAAGACGCAAGUCGAAGUAUAGGGUGUGACACGUGACCAAUGCCGAAAGAUUAAGGCAAGGGGUUAGCCGCAAGGCGAAGCUCUAAACCCAAGUCCCGGUGAAUGUCGGCCGUAACUAUAACGGUCCUAAGGUAGCGAAAUUCCUUGUCGGGUAAGUUCCGACCUGCACGAAUCGUGAAACGAGUUGGGCACUGUCUCAACCAGGCGCUCAGUGAAAUUGUAGUGGCGGUGAAGAUGCCGCCUACCCGCAGAAGGACGGAAAGACCCUAUAGACCUUAACUGUAAGCUGUCAUUGUUUCUUCGGUUUUAAUGCUCAGAGUAAGUGGGAGACGCUGAAGACGCCCUUUAGGGGGCGUCCGAGUCAUCAAUGAGACACCACCCUUUGAAACUGGAGGAUCUAACCCUGAGCCGUGAAUCCGGCCAGAGGACCGUGUCAGCCGGUCAGUUUUACUGGGGCGGUAUCCUCCCAAAGAGUAACGGAGGAGCGCGAAGGUGGGCUCAGCCCGGUUGGCAACCGGGUGUCGAGUGCAUGGGCAUAAGCCCGCCUAACUGUGAGACCAACAAGUCGAGCAGAUGCGAAAGCAGGCCCAAGUGAUCCGGCGGUAGAAAGUGGAAUUGCCGUCGCUCAACGGAUAAAAGGUACCUUAGGGAUAACAGGCUGAUCACGCCCAAGAGUUCAUAUCGACGGCGUGGUUUGGCACCUCGAUGUCGGCUCGUCGCAUCCUGGGGCUGGAGAAGGUCCCAAGGGUCCGGCUGUUCGCCGGUUAAAGCGGCACGCGAGCUGGGUUCAGAACGUCGCGAGACAGUUCGGUCCUCUAUCCUCUGUGGGCGUUGGAAAAUUGAGGGGUUCAGACCUUAGUACGAGAGGACCGGGUCUGACGCACCACUGGUGCAUCGGUUGUACUGUCAAGUGCAUGGCCGAGUAGCUAAGUGCGGACGGGAUAAGCGCUGAAAGCAUCUAAGCGCCAAGCCCUUCCCAAGAUGAGUUUUCCCUACAGGUUCGUGGAAGACCACCACGUUGAUAGGUCGCAGGUGUAAGUGCAGCAAUGUAUUGAGCCGAGCGAUACUAAUUACCAAUUGACUUCAUCAU
Molecule: ribosomal RNA, 1585 nt
Filed under: human gut metagenome
Description: bacterial LSU rRNA
Rfam family: Bacterial large subunit ribosomal RNA
Source: RNAcentral